Long non-coding RNA from Capsicum annuum, 848 nucleotides. RefSeq lists it as uncharacterized. NCBI's taxonomy places the organism in Eukaryota, Viridiplantae, Streptophyta, Magnoliopsida, Solanales, Solanaceae. The record is from RefSeq and is a predicted model, not a curated record. The transcript is spliced from 2 exons.
ACCAAAGAAAUAUAAGAAUAAAUUGUGCUUAGUUUGGUUUUCUUAUUCCCUUAUAUUGGAAAGAGGCAUCUACGGAGUCAUAGAAGACAAUUUGUUGGAGCUUCCUGAGCAUUUUAAGAAAUUCAAUAUUAUCCCUGGGGAUAUGACAGCUACAAGUUGACUGUCAAAUAUUUAUUGACAAAACUAUCUCCAAAGAUGAUCUCGUUAUAUGUUUUUUCUUGGGCUUUCACGGUUUGGACAUUUAAAGUCAUUUAUCCCCUCUGAAAGUAGGUCAAGGAUUAUCCAGAUGAGGUUUCUCAUCCAAGAAUCCUUAGGUGGUUGGCUGCAAAGAGCAACACAAGAAAUAAGGAGGUUGAUCUCUGUAAUCCUCUGGAUGAUGCAAUAAGUCUUCUUUCAAGUAAAAUAAUUUGGCUCAAAGAAAUAUAUUGAAACAGAUCAUCCAUCUGUUGCGACAAAUGGAUCAUCUUUGCAAUUUAUUUUAAUAGAUUGCCCAUCUACUACCACUGGUGCAACAGAUAGGUAAUCUAUUAUGGCAGAUGAGUUAUAUUUUGUAACAGAUUACUCAUCUGUUGUGUUUGGAACUUGGCCUUCUUUCGAAGAUAGUAAAAACUGACAUCGAUGUGCUGUACAUAUUAUCAAAUAUUUUAGAUUAUGUAAUAAUAAAAUUAAUAAACAGAUACAAUUAAAUAUAGAAUUAAUAGUAAGAUAAUGUAUGAGAUUUAAACCUCAUCAUUCCAGCAAGGUUGGGGCUGUGACCUCAAAUAGAACCAAUUAUUCAGUCUGGGAUGUGCAACAACAAAGUUAAAUACAUCAAAACCAAGACCCCAUUGGUUUACUUUGUAGUGUUA